Molecule: non-coding RNA, 21 nt
Organism: Caenorhabditis elegans
Lineage: Eukaryota; Metazoa; Nematoda; Chromadorea; Rhabditida; Rhabditidae
Source: Ensembl
UCUCAUCUAGGAAGAAAAAAA